This is a long non-coding RNA of Leptidea sinapis, 634 nucleotides long. RefSeq lists it as uncharacterized. The transcript has 2 exons. The record is from RefSeq and is a predicted model, not a curated record. Lineage: Eukaryota; Metazoa; Arthropoda; Insecta; Lepidoptera; Pieridae.
UAAAUAUCCUACUAUACAUAUUUUCAAUAAUGAUCCGUAGAAAUCUUUAUCAAAUUGGUGCAAAACAUGUGUCUCCUGAAACAAGAUAAGAAAUGACAAACCACUAUUCAUUAGUUAAUUAUGAAUAUAUAAUUAUAUGACAAAGAAACUUAUUUAGAUGGCUACUUAUUGGCUUCAAAUUAUAAAAUGGAUAAUAAUCUUUUGAGAUAAUAAUAAUUUUCAUUUGUCAAGACAGACCAAACUACUUUUUAAGCAAUAGCUUUUAAAAAUUUUGGCUAUCAAUCAUGUAAAUAAGUCUCAAUUUUCAAGGUGUCUAAUAGACACCCUGAAUGAAAAGUUAUAUUAUGGGUGUGUUUGUUUCAUAAUGUUGGAUAGGACAGAUGGUUUAAUUAAAUCAAUUAAACAUUCCACAACUUUUCCUAUGGGCGGGCCUGUUAAAGAAAUACAUAGCAAUAUAUCACUUUUAAUGUAUAGUCAGUAGGUACUCAAAUUUUUAGUAUCAUUUUUCUUCACUAUUAGUAGUACAAUUAAAUUGUGGAAUUCUGUAAUUGGCUCUUUAGAAUUAAAAUUGUUAACUGUUAAUUAAGUUUUUAUAGCUAUUGAUUUUCCUAAUAAAUAAGUAGAUUAAAUAUUA